RNAcentral lists this ribosomal RNA (235 nucleotides) under uncultured bacterium. RNAcentral describes it as "partial 16S ribosomal RNA". It matches the Rfam family "Bacterial small subunit ribosomal RNA", at positions 99 to 334 of the family's 1533-position model. The record is from RNAcentral.
CGGACGGGUGAGUAACGCGUGGGUAACCUGCCUCACACUGGGGGAUAACAGUUAGAAAUAGCUGCUAAUACCGCAUAAGCGCACAGUUCCGCAUGGAACAGUGUGAAAAACUCCGGUGGUGUGAGAUGGACCCGCGUCUGAUUAGCCAGUUGGCGGGGUAACGGCCCACCAAAGCGACGAUCAGUAGCCGGCCUGAGAGGGUGAACGGCCACAUUGGGGCUGAGACACGGCCCAA